AAUUUUCAGGAACGUUCCCAGCAAAAGUCUUCUUGCCGGAACUCCUGCCUCCUCCUGUCUCCCCCAAAUUCCCCACCGGCGAUUCAACGAUGGUGAUACCCCCGGUCCCCCGAUUCAAACGACCCAACAAUCACCGGAUUUCCAACAAGCCCAACAAUCUCAGGAUUUGGCUAUCACUGGAUUCCGGCGAUGGCAAGCUCCACCUCGCCCCGCCAUCAGCCUUUGACCGGGACCUACGUAAGCGGCCGGCGCCGCGGGCCACCACAUCCUGACGGCGACGGCGACCUCCCUCACUCUGCUGCUAGGGCCACUACUAUUCCUAUUUGACAUAGCUAGUUCUUAUUCUUUCUGCUGUGGAUUGUUUCAGACGCGACUAACAUGUGUUGGUGAGUAAACUUUUUCUAAAGGAACUGAAUUUCUGGAUGUGAAGUUGUGUUGUAAUGUGUUACUUGACUGAUACAUGUUGCAAUUUAAUUCACUAGUCCGACUAGCUGGUGGUGAUAUUUUUGCACCUGAUACUACUAUACGUCUAUACAUUCACUAGCUCGUGUACUGCUCAUGAGUGAAAGUUUCAGAAACAAUAGUAACUUUGUUUCUUUUCGGUGAAUGCAAUUGUUGAGGCUAAUGUGGUUCUGUAAUCCUUAGGUGUUCCUUGGCGAUACAUGCUGCAAUUUGGUACGGCGAUAUAUUCAGAAAAAAUAGAAAAA
Molecule: long non-coding RNA, 707 nt
Filed under: Brachypodium distachyon (stiff brome)
Lineage: Eukaryota; Viridiplantae; Streptophyta; Magnoliopsida; Poales; Poaceae
Description: long non-coding RNA (BDIS_LNC005868)
Source: RNAcentral